Molecule: ribosomal RNA, 484 nt
Filed under: uncultured bacterium
Lineage: Bacteria
Description: partial 16S ribosomal RNA
Rfam family: Bacterial small subunit ribosomal RNA
Source: RNAcentral
AUUGAACGCUGGCGGCAGGCCUAACACAUGCAAGUCGAGCGGAUGAAGGGAGCUUGCUCCUGGAUUCAGCGGCGGACGGGUGAGUAAUGCCUAGGAAUCUGCCUGGUAGUGGGGGAUAACGUCCGGAAACGGGCGCUAAUACCGCAUACGUCCUGAGGGAGAAAGUGGGGGAUCUUCGGACCUCACGCUAUCAGAUGAGCCUAGGUCGGCUUAGCUAGUUGGUGGGGUAAAGGCCUACCAAGGCGACGAUCCGUAACUGGUCUGAGAGGAUGAUCAGUCACACUGGAACUGAGACACGGUCCAGACUCCUACGGGAGGCAGCAGUGGGGAAUAUUGGACAAUGGGCGAAAGCCUGAUCCAGCCAUGCCGCGUGUGUGAAGAAGGUCUUCGGAUUGUAAAGCACUUUAAGUUGGGAGGAAGGGCAGUAAGUUAAUACCUUGCUGUUUUGACGUUACCAACAGAAUAAGCACCGGCUAACUUCGUG